UGGUGGAGUGAUUUGUCUGGUUAAUUCCGUUAACGAACGAGACCUUUGCUUAUUAAGUAGACGCUGGAGUGCCUUGGCACUGCAUUGUUCGUCUUCUUAGCAGGACGUGCGCUCUGGCAGGCGCAGGAGGAUAGAGGCAAUAACA
Molecule: ribosomal RNA, 145 nt
Filed under: uncultured eukaryote
Lineage: Eukaryota
Description: partial 18S ribosomal RNA
Rfam family: Eukaryotic small subunit ribosomal RNA
Source: RNAcentral